Elaeis guineensis (African oil palm) is the source of this 121-nucleotide small nucleolar RNA. NCBI's taxonomy places the organism in Eukaryota, Viridiplantae, Streptophyta, Magnoliopsida, Arecales, Arecaceae. The record is from RefSeq and is a predicted model, not a curated record.
GGUCAAAGUCGUCAAAUUGAAAUGGCGAACUUUGGAUGAUUAUUGGCAACAACAAUCGUGCAAUUCUCUGUGCCUCUCAGAUCUCUUUAUUUGAAGAUGGCCUCGAACAAAUUGCUACAUU